This 417-nucleotide long non-coding RNA is filed under the name Struthio camelus australis. Its description in RNAcentral is "lncRNA (ENSSCUG00000010905.1)". The record is from RNAcentral. Lineage: Eukaryota; Metazoa; Chordata; Aves; Struthioniformes; Struthionidae.
CGGGCAGCUUGCAGCACCCUCGCGGAGGGCUGGGCAGGGUGGUGGAGCUGACCUCUGUCUCUACAGGGCCCCCCUGGACUGGUCAAUGGGGCAGCGCCGCAAGGGGAGCCCGGCACCCCGGUGAGUCUGGCCCCAGGGGCAGUGGGGAGGAGACAGGGGGAGCAGGACCAUGUGUGUCCCCUGGGGCUGGGCUGUGUCCCUCACCAAGCUGCUCUCUUGCAGGGUCUGCCUGGGGACCCUGGGCCCCGGGGUCCUGCCGGCCCCCCCGGACCAAAAGGAGACAAGGGUGACAGUGAGGAAGGUUUCCCAGGGCCACCCGGCCGCCCAGGGGACCCGGGGGAUCGGGUGAGUUCCCUGAGACGAGGUAAGGCCGGCUGGGACCAGCACACUCGGCAAAGAGACUGUGGGAUUGCUCCC